AUAGAUCUGUACGGACUCUUGAUUUAACCCACAAUAAAAUAGUUGACAUACCUAUGGAUAUAAGCAAAUUAAUUAACAUGCAGCGCCUGAUCUUAGCUGAGAAUCUUGUCCAGCAACUACCUACAAACUUGGGGAAACUUCAGUCUCUAAAACUUAUGACACUUGAUGGAAAUCAAAUUACCUCCUUGCCUGAUGAAAGUAAUUCUCUUCUCU
Long non-coding RNA from Quercus lobata, 213 nucleotides. RefSeq lists it as uncharacterized. NCBI's taxonomy places the organism in Eukaryota, Viridiplantae, Streptophyta, Magnoliopsida, Fagales, Fagaceae. The record is from RefSeq and is a predicted model, not a curated record. The transcript is spliced from 3 exons.